GUAGGGUGCAAGCGUUAAUCGGAAUUACUGGGCGUAAAGCGUGCGCAGGCGGUUAUGCAAGACAGAGGUGAAAUCCCCGGGCUCAACCUGGGAACUGCCUUUGUGACUGCAUGGCUAGAGUACGGUAGAGGGGGAUGGAAUUCCGCGUGUAGCAGUGAAAUGCGUAGAUAUGCGGAGGAACACCGAUGGCGAAGGCAAUCCCCUGGACCUGUACUGACGCUCAUGCACGGAAGCGUGGGGAGCAAACAGGAUUAGAUACCCUGGUAGUCCACGCCCUAAACGAUGUCAACUGGUUGUUGGGAGGGUUUCUUCUCAGUAACGUAGCUAACGCGUGAAGUUGACCGCCUGGGGAGUACGGCCGCAAGGUUG
This 369-nucleotide ribosomal RNA is filed under the name uncultured bacterium. RNAcentral describes it as "bacterial SSU rRNA". It matches the Rfam family "Bacterial small subunit ribosomal RNA", at positions 527 to 896 of the family's 1533-position model. The record is from RNAcentral.